AGCAGCCGCGGUAAUUCCAGCUCCAAUAGCGUAUAUUAAAGUUGUUGCAGUUAAAAAGCUCGUAGUUGAAUUUCGGGGUCAGUAGGUCGGUCGUGCCACUGGUAUGAACUGGUUUUACUGAUUCCUCCCUCUUGAAGAACUGUAAUGCCAUUAAUUUGGUGUUGCAGGGAAUCAGGACUGUUACUUUGAAAAAAUUAGAGUGUUUAAAGCAGGCUUUAGCUUGAAUACAUUAGCAUGGAAUAAUGAAAUAGGACGUUUGAUCCUAUUUUGUUGGUUUCUAGGAUUGACGUAAUGAUUAAUAGGGAUAGUUGGGGGCAUUAGUAUUCAAUUGUCAGAGGUGAAAUUCUUGGAUUUAUUUAAGACUAACUACUGCGAAAGCAUUUGCCAAGGAUGUUUUCAUUAAUCAAGAACGAAAGUUAGGGGAUCGAAGACGAUCAGAUACCGUCGUAGUCUUAACCAUAAACUAUGCCGACUAGGGAUCGGAUGAUGUUAAUUUUUUAAUGACUCA
This 508-nucleotide ribosomal RNA is filed under the name uncultured fungus. RNAcentral's name for it is "SSU rRNA". It matches the Rfam family "Eukaryotic small subunit ribosomal RNA", at positions 569 to 1078 of the family's 1831-position model. Lineage: Eukaryota; Fungi. The record is from RNAcentral.